Molecule: ribosomal RNA, 914 nt
Filed under: Meripilus giganteus
Lineage: Eukaryota; Fungi; Basidiomycota; Agaricomycetes; Polyporales; Meripilaceae
Description: partial 25S ribosomal RNA
Rfam family: Eukaryotic large subunit ribosomal RNA
Source: RNAcentral
NNNNNNACAAGAUUCCCCUAGUAACUGCGAGUGAACCGGGAAAAGCUCAAAUUUAAAAUCUGGCGGUCUCCGGCCGUCCGAGUUGUAUUCUGGAGAAGUGCCUCCCGCGCCGGACCGUGUACAAUUCUCUUGGAAUAGAGCGUCAUAGAGGGUGAGAAUCCCGUCUUUGACACGGACCGCCGGUGCUUUGGGAUGCGCUUYCAAAGAGUCGAGUUGUUUGGGAAUGCAGCUCAAAAUGGGUGGUAAAUUCCAUCUAAAGCUAAAUAUUGGCAAGAGACCGAUAGCGAACAAGUACCGUGAGGGAAAGAUGAAAAGCACUUUGGAAAGAGAGUUAAACAGUACGUGAAAUUGCUGAAAGGGAAACACUUGAAGUCAGUCGCGUUGGUCAGAACUCAGCCCGGCCAUGCGCUUGGUGCAUUUYCUGAUCGACGGGCCAGCAUCAAUUUCGACCGUGGGAUAAAGGCUGGAGAAAGGUGGCUCCCUUGGGAGUGUUAUAGUCUCCGGUUGCAUGCCACGGUUGGGAUUGAGGAACUCAGCAUGCCUUUACGGCCGGGGUUCGCCCACGUUCAUGCUUAGGAUGCUGGCGUAAUGGCUUUAAAUGACCCGUCUUGAAACACGGACCAAGGAGUCUAACAUGCCUGCGAGUGUUUGGGUGGAAAACCCGAGCGCGCAAUGAAAGUGAAAGUUGGGAUCCCUGUCGCGGGGAGCACCGACGCCCGGACCAGACCUUCUGUGACGGAUCCGCGGUAGAGCAUGUAUGUUGGGACCCGAAAGAUGGUGAACUAUGCCUGAAUAGGGUGAAGCCAGAGGAAACUCUGGUGGAGGCUCGUAGCGAUUCUGACGUGCAAAUCGAUCGUCAAAUUUGGGUAUAGGGGCGAAAGACUAAUCGAACCAUNNNNNNNNNNNNNNNNNNN